AGUAAUGCAUAGGAAUUUGCCUUGAAGUGGGGGAUAGCCCGGAGAAAUCCGGAUUAAUACCGCAUAUGCUCUACGGAGCAAAGUGGGCCUCUGAUUUAAGCUCAUGCUUUGAGAUAAGCCUAUGUCGGAUUAGCUUGUUGGUAGGGUAAAAGCCUACCAAGGCGACGAUCCGUAGCUGGUUUGAGAGGAUGAUCAGCCACACUGGGACUGAGACACGGCCCAG
This 223-nucleotide ribosomal RNA is filed under the name uncultured bacterium. Its description in RNAcentral is "partial 16S ribosomal RNA". It matches the Rfam family "Bacterial small subunit ribosomal RNA", at positions 109 to 334 of the family's 1533-position model. The record is from RNAcentral.